AGGACGAACGCUGGCGGCGUGCUUAACACAUGCAAGUCGAACGGAAAGGUCUCUUCGGAGAUACUCGAGUGGCGAACGGGUGAGUAACACGUGGGUAAUCUGCCCUGCACUUCGGGAUAAGCCUGGGAAACUGGGUCUAAUACCGAAUAGGACCAUAAGGCGCAUGCCUAUUGGUGGAAAGCUUUUGCGGUGUGGGAUGGGCCCGCGGCCUAUCAGCUUGUUGGUGGGGUGACGGCCUACCAAGGCGACGACGGGUAGCCGGCCUGAGAGGGUGUCCGGCCACACUGGGACUGAGAUACGGCCCAGACUCCUACGGGAGGCAGCAGUGGGGAAUAUUGCACAAUGGGCGCAAGCCUGAUGCAGCGACGCCGCGUGGGGGAUGACGGCCUUCGGGUUGUAACCUCUUUCACCAUCGACGAGGUCCGGGUUUCUCGGAUUGACGGUAGGUGGAGAAGAAGCACCGGCCAACUACGCGCCAGCGCCGCGGU
RNAcentral lists this ribosomal RNA (488 nucleotides) under uncultured bacterium. RNAcentral's name for it is "SSU rRNA". It matches the Rfam family "Bacterial small subunit ribosomal RNA", at positions 26 to 521 of the family's 1533-position model. The record is from RNAcentral.